RNAcentral lists this ribosomal RNA (253 nucleotides) under uncultured bacterium. RNAcentral's name for it is "partial 16S ribosomal RNA". It matches the Rfam family "Bacterial small subunit ribosomal RNA", at positions 524 to 776 of the family's 1533-position model. The record is from RNAcentral.
UACGAAGGGGGCUAGCGUUGCUCGGAAUUACUGGGCGUAAAGGGCGCGUAGGCGGCACUGUUAGUCAGGCGUGAAAUUCCUGGGCUCAACCUGGGGACUGCGCUUGAUACGGCAGAGCUUGAGGAUGGAAGAGGGUCGCGGAAUUCCCAGUGUAGAGGUGAAAUUCGUAGAUAUUGGGAAGAACCCCGGUGGCGAAGGCGGCGACCUGGUCCAUUACUGACGCUGAGGCGCGACAGCGUGGGGAGCAAACAGG